This is an RNA transcript of Talpa occidentalis (Iberian mole), 3013 nucleotides long. It is a transcript of the gene named adenylosuccinate synthase 2, with no coding region annotated. The transcript is spliced from 15 exons. Lineage: Eukaryota; Metazoa; Chordata; Mammalia; Eulipotyphla; Talpidae. The record is from RefSeq and is a predicted model, not a curated record.
GCACUGGUCGCCGCCCGCGUCUCCUCUGGGCUCUCCUCGCGUCACCGGGGCCAUGGCGUUCGCCGAGACCAACCCAACGGCAUCCUCCCUCCCCAACGGCGACUGCGGCCGCCCCAGGGCGCGUCCCGGGGGGAACAGGGUGACGGUGGUGCUCGGCGCGCAGUGGGGCGACGAAGGCAAAGGGAAGGUGGUGGAUCUGCUGGCGCAGGACGCCGACAUAGUGUGCCGCUGCCAGGGAGGAAAUAAUGCUGGCCAUACAGUUGUUGUAGAUUCUGUAGAAUAUGAUUUUCAUCUUUUACCCAGUGGAAUAAUUAAUCCAAAUGUUACUGCAUUCAUUGGAAAUGGUGUGGUAAUUCAUUUACCUGGAUUGUUUGAGGAAGCAGACAAAAAUGUUCAAAAGGGAAAAGGUCUAGAAGGCUGGGAAAAAAGGCUUAUCAUAUCUGACAGAGCGCAUAUUGUAUUUGAUUUUCAUCAAGCAGCUGAUGGCAUCCAGGAGCAACAGAGACAAGAACAAGCAGGAAAAAAUUUGGGUACCACAAAAAAGGGCAUUGGCCCAGUUUAUUCUUCUAAAGCUGCUCGAAGUGGACUCCGGAUGUGUGAUCUUGUGUCUGAUUUUGAUGGCUUCUCUGAGAGGUUCAAAGUUCUGGCUAAUCAGUAUAAAUCAAUAUACCCCACUUUGGAAAUAGACAUUGAAGGUGAAUUACAAAAACUCAAGGGUUACAUGGAAAGGAUAAAACCAAUGGUGAAAGAUGGAGUUUAUUUCCUAUAUGAAGCCCUACAUGGACCACCAAAGAAAAUCUUGGUAGAAGGUGCAAAUGCAGCACUACUAGAUAUUGAUUUUGGAACAUAUCCUUUUGUAACCUCCUCAAACUGUACUGUUGGAGGUGUUUGCACUGGACUGGGUAUGCCUCCUCAAAAUGUUGGAGAAGUAUAUGGAGUUGUGAAAGCUUAUACGACGAGAGUUGGUAUUGGUGCCUUUCCUACAGAGCAGGAUAAUGAAAUUGGAGAAUUGUUACAAACAAGAGGUGGAGAGUUUGGUGUAACUACUGGAAGGAAAAGGAGGUGUGGCUGGCUCGAUCUUGUUUUGCUCAAAUACGCUCAUAUGAUUAAUGGAUUUACUGCGUUGGCACUUACCAAAUUGGAUAUUUUGGACAUGUUUACAGAAAUCAAAGUUGGAGUUGCUUACAAGUUAGAUGACAAAAUCAUACCUCAUUUCCCAGCAAACCAAGAAGUUUUAAAUAAAGUUGAAGUUCAGUAUAAGACUCUCCCAGGAUGGAAUACAGAUAUAUCAAAUGCCAGGACAUUUCAAGAACUACCUGUUAAUGCUCAAAAUUAUGUUCGGUUUAUUGAAGAUGAGCUAAAAAUUCCAGUUAAAUGGAUUGGUGUAGGUAAAUCCAGAGAGUCUAUGAUUCAACUCUUCUAAGGAUUUCCAUUGGCGCAAGCAAGAAACACUCCUUGAGAUGGGAAAAGGACUUUCUUAAAUGUUUCAUUUAUGAACUUCAAGUUUCAAGAAUAAAGACAUUGAAGUUUGGAAGCACAUGAAUAUCCAUGUUUUAUGAAACCUUUGAAAACAAUUAUAAGGAUGACUGGACAUGUUAGCAUAUGAACAUGUUUUCCAUAGUAUAGCACCAUGUGUAAGGAGUGGAGAGAGGAAGAAAAUUCACAACCCUGUGAGGAUAAAAUAUAAUCCACGUAAGAAGGAAAAUAAGAUUUGGGACACAUUUAUACACAGCAUCCAACCAUCUGUCUUCCUUACUUUACAGACUUCUGAUCUGAUUUUAUUUUUUAUUCUGUUUUUGUUUUUAUUUUUGUUUUAUUUUUAUUUUUAAGUGAUUUUCAUUUGAAUAAGUAUAUGACCCAGCAAUUUCACUUCUGAGUAUUUAUUAAAAAAAAAAUGAAAACACUGGCUCAACAUGAUAUGUACUACCAUGUUUAUUGCAGUGUUAUUUAAAAUUCCUAUUUAUAAUAGGAAUCAGUGUUCACUGAUGGAUGAAUGGAUUAAGAAAUUUGUGUGUGUGUGUGUGUGUAAACUGUUAACAACAAGUGGCCCUUGAGGGCAAUAUUCUAAGGGAAAUUAAUCAGACAAAGACAAAUACUGUAUGAUCUUACUUAUGUAUGUAAUCUUAAAAAAAAAAAAAAAACUAGCAACAAGAAGAACCUAUAGGUACAGUGAACAGAAAGAUGAUUGCCAGAGGUGGGAGUGGUUUAAAGGAAUACACUUCCAGUGAUGAAGAUAACUCAUGGAGAUACAAAUUACAGUAUAGCAACUAUAAUUAAUAAUGCUAUAUUGCAUAUUUAAAAGUUGGUAAGAGUAGAUUGUAAAAGUCAUCCCAAGAAAAAAAAUUUUAUAAGCACAUAUAGUGACAGAUACUAACUAGACUUAUGUCAAAUUAUACUGUACAUCUGAAGUCAAUAUGCUAUGUUAAUUAUACCUCAAUAAAAAUAAUAUAAUUUUAUGAUUUAGCAAAUUUAAAGAAUUGUGCAACCAUCACCAUAAUCCUGUUAGAAUUUCUACAUCAUUAGUGUCCAUUUGUAAUCACUCCCUACUCCCACCCCCAAUCUCAUUAAUUUGCUUUGUCUCAAUAGGAUUGCUUUUUCUGAAUAUUUCACAUAAGAAAAAUCUUGUGAUAUUUCAGAUGUGGUCCUUCGCAUCUGGCUUUCACUUAAUGUAAUAUUUUGAUGUCACUCUGUGUACUUCAUCUCUUUAUUGCUAAGUGGUUUUCCAUUAUAUAUUUGUACCACAUUCAUCUGUUCUUGAACACCUGGAUAAUUUUCAGUUCCCGGAGCUUAUGAAAAAUGCUGUUAUGAGCAUUUGUAUGUAAGUCUUUACAUGGAUAUAUCUUUUCAAAUCUCUUGGAUAAAUACCUCAAGGUAGGAUAUCUGGAUUAUAGUGCACAUUUAUAUUUAAUUUUUUAAAACAUCCAGAGUGACUAUCACUUUAAUAAAGCCAUGUGUAAGAGUUCCUGUUUCUCCAUAUCCUUAUCAAUACUUGUUAUUGGUCUUUGGUUGUAGG